GUCUAUGCCCAUACCACCCUGAACAUACUUGAUCUCUCAUCUGAGCUCAGAAGCUAAGCAGGGUUAGGCCUGGUUAGUAAUUGAAUAGGAGAAAACAUUUGGGGUUUUUGUAA
Molecule: ribosomal RNA, 113 nt
Organism: Erinaceus europaeus (western European hedgehog)
Lineage: Eukaryota; Metazoa; Chordata; Mammalia; Eulipotyphla; Erinaceidae
Source: Ensembl